Molecule: ribosomal RNA, 467 nt
Filed under: uncultured bacterium
Lineage: Bacteria
Description: partial 16S ribosomal RNA
Rfam family: Bacterial small subunit ribosomal RNA
Source: RNAcentral
GAUGAACGCUGACAGAAUGCUUAACACAUGCAAGUCUACUUGAAUUUGGGUUUUUAACUUAGGUUUGGGUGGCGGACGGGUGAGUAACGCGUAAAGAACUUGCCUCACAGCUAGGGACAACAUUUAGAAAUGAAUGCUAAUACCUAAUAUUAUGAUAAUAGGGCAUCCUAUAAUUAUGAAAGCUAUAUGCGCUGUGAGAGAGCUUUGCGUCCCAUUAGCUAGUUGGAGAGGUAACGGCUCACCAAGGCGAUGAUGGGUAGCCGGCCUGAGAGGGUGAUCGGCCACAAGGGGACUGAGACACGGCCCUUACUCCUACGGGAGGCAGCAGUGGGGAAUAUUGGACAAUGGACCGAGAGUCUGAUCCAGCAAUUCUGUGUGCACGAUGAAGUUUUUCGGAAUGUAAAGUGCUUUCAGUUGGGAAGAAAGAAAUGACGGUACCAACAGAAGAAGUGACGGCUAAAUACGUG